CCUAUCUUUUCGUCCCGGGACUAACUAGCCGAAAGGUUAGCUAAUACCUGAUACGAUCAUCGAGUGGCAUCAUUUGAUGAUGAAAGCAGCAAUGCGCGGAUUGAGGGGGCUGCGGCCCAUUAGCUAGUUGGUGAGGUAACGGCCCACCAAGGCAACGAUGGGUAGCUGGUCUGAGAGGACGAUCAGCCACACUGGGAUUGAGAACGGCCCAG
Molecule: ribosomal RNA, 212 nt
Filed under: uncultured bacterium
Lineage: Bacteria
Description: partial 16S ribosomal RNA
Rfam family: Bacterial small subunit ribosomal RNA
Source: RNAcentral